Molecule: unclassified non-coding RNA, 2122 nt
Filed under: Haliotis rubra (blacklip abalone)
Lineage: Eukaryota; Metazoa; Mollusca; Gastropoda; Lepetellida; Haliotidae
Description: uncharacterized LOC124282397, transcript variant X5
Source: RNAcentral
UGUAAAAUUGUAGUUAAUCCAUUUUUAGUCUGGACCCGGAACAAUACCAACAUUGCAUUAUAACGAGGACGGUUUUCACGCGGAAUAGGACUUCUACUUUUUGUUUCGUUUUAGAAUAAUCAAGCCGACGUUGUUGUCAUCAGAAGAGGAAGUAUAAGCUGAGAGAGCCAGAAAUUGACGACUAUGGCAUUUCCCUGGGCAUACAAACCUCAGGCUUGGGACUCCACUGAGUUGAGUGACUUCCUGAAUGGACAAGGAGCAUACCAGAUGGAGGGCGAUGACUUUACGGUCAAUAUCCUUUUCCGCAAUGACAAUGAUGAAAUUGAACAGAAAACUUUACCCAUCAGCAUUAAUCAUGUGCAGAGUUUGAUCGCGACCGGAGAAGAAUCCGUUCUCUUCACACAAAUACGAUACAUCACAACAAAACCCAACCUAAUGACAGAUUCAGAUAAAGACAUAAUAACAUUUUCCUACCGCGAAGCAAGUGAUGAAGACAUCAACAAGAAAACAAGAUAUGUUUAUAUGAAAACCACAAGUGCUGAUCAGACUGGGAGAAUUAUAAACAGGUUUCGCCAACUUCAGUUUCGACCAUUGGAAGUGAUAGAGGAUAUCUCCCAAGCCAGGAUAGUGUUCGAGGCUUUCGUUCCAACGUUUGUUGAUCGUAUCAAUGUAGUGGUGACUGAUCUGAGAUCAAAUACGCAAGUUGAAGACAAGCAGUUUGUCGUUACUCAGGACCAGGAGUGUAUGUGUCUGUUCUCUCGCUCGUACAGUACCAAGCCUGACUAUCAGGUUAACUUCUGGAAGGAAGAAGGGGAGAAUGUCGUGGAGAAGUGUGCUGUCAUCCAUGCCACACAGCAAUUUGAGAUCUCAACACCAUCAUAUAUUUACCACUUGAAAAGGAGUGCUACGGUGGACCAGCUGGUGAGGAACAUAACCAAGAUGAAACCAAGGCCAAGGUACCAGUUGUUUGAUCCAGUAGCCAUGGUAAAGAAACAGCAGCGUUUGAAUAUGGAACCAGUGGAUGAUAAUCCCAUCUCUAGAAAUGUUGAUCACAUCGCUGGAAAUGUUGAACAAUUUACGUACACACGGGACACAGAAACAGCAUUAGCCGAGUCGAGGAGGACCUUCCUCCGAAACUUUAAAGACAAACUGGAGACUGCCUACCAGGUAGGCGAAUCCAACAUGGACUGGCACGCCAUCUGGGAGCCGAAUGAACUGACUAUCAGAGAGCUGCUGGAGAAUCCCGAACUCUUCCCAGAGAAAGAUGCACGUAGUGGAGGCUUGGACCCUGAUUCAAUUGACCAUUUCACUGCAUGUACAGACGACAUCGUGGACAAAGUGUUUUGUCAGGAGUGUGCAGCUGCAUUUUCAUCUCUGAAGAACCUCCGGGAAAUCUUUAGUGAGUGUAGUUAUCCCGAAAUGGCCCCCAUCUUGUCAGAUGAUGACUACACUCUGUUGAAGAAACUUGUGUUCAAGAACCUGUAUGAACAGCCAUGGUAGGAUGGUCAGACAGUAACAAAUGAGAACUGCCAUUGUGGGAUGGUCAGACAGUAACAAAUGAGAACUGCCAUGGUAGGAUGGUCAGACAGUAACAAAUGAGAACAGCCAUUGCAGGAUGGUCAGACAGUAACAAAUGAGAACAGCCAUUGUAGGAGGGUCAUACAGUAACAAAUGAGAACAGCCAUUGUAGGAGGGUCAUACAGUAACAAAUGAGAACAGCCAUUGUGGGAGGGGUCAUACAGUAACAAAUGAGAACAGCCAUUGUGGGAGGGUCAUACAGUAACAAAUGAGAACAGCCAUUGUGGGAGGGUCAUACAGUAACAAAUGAGUACAGCCAUUGUGGGAGGGUCAUACAGUAACAAAUGAGAACAGCCAUUGUAGGAGGGUCAUUCAGUAACAAAUGAGAACAGCCAUUGUAGGUGUGUUAUUCGCUGACAAAUAAUCAUUGUAAGAGGAUUAUACAGAUGGUUGGCUUAAGCCUUAUAGAAUGUGCCUUUGCUGUCUAUUUUUCACAGAUAUGUCUUAUUACAUAAGCCUCCAGUGAAUAUCCAUAUUUGAAAUGCUACUUAAACCUAGCAGUUUGUGAACAUGCCUGUUUGUCUGCUUUUCUCUGCCUUUGCCU